AACGAACGCUGGCGGCAUGCCUAACACAUGCAAGUCGAACGAGACCUUCGGGUCUAGUGGCGCACGGGUGCGUAACACGUGGGAAUUUGCCUCGGGGUAUGGAAUAACUCAGGGAAACUUGAGCUAAUACCAUAUAAUGUCUUCGGACCAAAGAUUUAUCGCCCUGAGAUAAGCCCGCGUAGGAUUAGCUAGUUGGUGGGGUAAAGGCUCACCAAGGCGACGAUCCUUAGCUGGUCUGAGAGGACGACCAGCCACACUGGGACUGAGACACGGCCCAGACUCCUACGGGAGGCAGCAGUGGGGAAUUUUGGACAAUGGGCGGCAAGCCUGAUCCAGCAAUGCCGCGUGCAGGAUGAAGGCC
This 361-nucleotide ribosomal RNA is filed under the name uncultured bacterium. Its description in RNAcentral is "bacterial SSU rRNA". It matches the Rfam family "Bacterial small subunit ribosomal RNA", at positions 29 to 416 of the family's 1533-position model. The record is from RNAcentral.